This 1510-nucleotide ribosomal RNA is filed under the name Helicobacter pylori. RNAcentral describes it as "bacterial SSU rRNA". It matches the Rfam family "Bacterial small subunit ribosomal RNA". Lineage: Bacteria; Pseudomonadati; Campylobacterota; Epsilonproteobacteria; Campylobacterales; Helicobacteraceae. The record is from RNAcentral.
UUUUAUGGAGAGUUUGAUCCUGGCUCAGAGUGAACGCUGGCGGCGUGCCUAAUACAUGCAAGUCGAACGAUGAAGCUUCUAGCUUGCUAGAGUGCUGAUUAGUGGCGCACGGGUGAGUAACGCAUAGGUCAUGUGCCUCUUAGUUUGGGAUAGCCAUUGGAAACGAUGAUUAAUACCAGAUACUCCCUACGGGGGAAAGAUUUAUCGCUAAGAGAUCAGCCUAUGUCCUAUCAGCUUGUUGGUAAGGUAAUGGCUUACCAAGGCUAUGACGGGUAUCCGGCCUGAGAGGGUGAACGGACACACUGGAACUGAGACACGGUCCAGACUCCUACGGGAGGCAGCAGUAGGGAAUAUUGCUCAAUGGGGGAAACCCUGAAGCAGCAACGCCGCGUGGAGGAUGAAGGUUUUAGGAUUGUAAACUCCUUUUGUUAGAGAAGAUAAUGACGGUAUCUAACGAAUAAGCACCGGCUAACUCCGUGCCAGCAGCCGCGGUAAUACGGAGGGUGCAAGCGUUACUCGGAAUCACUGGGCGUAAAGAGCGCGUAGGCGGGAUAGUCAGUCAGGUGUGAAAUCCUAUGGCUUAACCAUAGAACUGCAUUUGAAACUACUAUUCUAGAGUGUGGGAGAGGUAGGUGGAAUUCUUGGUGUAGGGGUAAAAUCCGUAGAGAUCAAGAGGAAUACUCAUUGCGAAGGCGACCUGCUGGAACAUUACUGACGCUGAUUGCGCGAAAGCGUGGGGAGCAAACAGGAUUAGAUACCCUGGUAGUCCACGCCCUAAACGAUGGAUGCUAGUUGUUGGAGGGCUUAGUCUCUCCAGUAAUGCAGCUAACGCAUUAAGCAUCCCGCCUGGGGAGUACGGUCGCAAGAUUAAAACUCAAAGGAAUAGACGGGGACCCGCACAAGCGGUGGAGCAUGUGGUUUAAUUCGAAGAUACACGAAGAACCUUACCUAGGCUUGACAUUGAGAGAAUCCGCUAGAAAUAGUGGAGUGUCUAGCUUGCUAGACCUUGAAAACAGGUGCUGCACGGCUGUCGUCAGCUCGUGUCGUGAGAUGUUGGGUUAAGUCCCGCAACGAGCGCAACCCCCUUUCUUAGUUGCUAACAGGUCAUGCUGAGAACUCUAAGGAUACUGCCUCCGUAAGGAGGAGGAAGGUGGGGACGACGUCAAGUCAUCAUGGCCCUUACGCCUAGGGCUACACACGUGCUACAAUGGGGUGCACAAAGAGAAGCAAUACUGCGAAGUGGAGCCAAUCUUCAAAACACCUCUCAGUUCGGAUUGUAGGCUGCAACUCGCCUGCAUGAAGCUGGAAUCGCUAGUAAUCGCAAAUCAGCCAUGUUGCGGUGAAUACGUUCCCGGGUCUUGUACUCACCGCCCGUCACACCAUGGGAGUUGUGUUUGCCUUAAGUCAGGAUGCUAAAUUAGCUACUGCCCACGGCACACACAGCGACUGGGGUGAAGUCGUAACAAGGUAACCGUAGGUGAACCUGCGGUUGGAUCACCUCCUUUCUAGA